RNAcentral lists this ribosomal RNA (433 nucleotides) under uncultured bacterium. RNAcentral's name for it is "partial 16S ribosomal RNA". It matches the Rfam family "Bacterial small subunit ribosomal RNA", at positions 29 to 507 of the family's 1533-position model. The record is from RNAcentral.
AACGAACGCUGGCGGCAUGCCUAACACAUGCAAGUCGAACGAGACCUUCGGGUCUAGUGGCGCACGGGUGCGUAACGCGUGGGAACCUGCCUUUAGGUUCGGAAUAACUCAGAGAAAUUUGAGCUAAUACCGGAUGAUGUCUUCGGACCAAAGAUUUAUCGCCUUUAGAUGGGCCCGCGUUGGAUUAGCUAGUUGGUGGGGUAAAGGCCUACCAAGGCGACGAUCCAUAGCUGGUCUGAGAGGAUGAUCAGCCACACUGGGACUGAGACACGGCCCAGACUCCUACGGGAGGCAGCAGUGGGGAAUAUUGGACAAUGGGCGAAAGCCUGAUCCAGCAAUGCCGCGUGAGUGACGAAGGCCUUAGGGUUGUAAAGCUCUUUUACCCGAGAUGAUAAUGACAGUAUCGGGAGAAUAAGCUCCGGCUAACUCCGUG